GUGGGGAAUUUUGGACAAUGGGGGCAACCCUGAUCCAGCCAUGCCGCGUGCGGGAAGAAGGCCUUCGGGUUGUAAACCGCUUUUGUCAGGGAAGAAAUCCUUUGGGUUAAUACCUCGGAGGGAUGACGGUACCUGAAGAAUAAGCACCGGCUAACUACGUGCCAGCAGCCGCGGUAAUACGUAGGGUGCGAGCGUUAAUCGGAAUUACUGGGCGUAAAGCGUGCGCAGGCGGUUUUGUAAGAUCGAUGUGAAAUCCCCGGGCUCAACCUGGGAACUGCAUUGGUGACUGCAAGGCUGGAGUGCGGCAGAGGGGGGUAGAAUUCCACGUGUAGCAGUGAAAUGCGUAGAGAUGUGGAGGAAUACCGAUGGCGAAGGCAGCCCCCUGGGAUAACACUGACGCUCAUGCACGAAAGCGUGGGGAGCAAACAGGAUUAGAUACCCGUGUAGUCC
Molecule: ribosomal RNA, 450 nt
Filed under: uncultured bacterium
Lineage: Bacteria
Description: partial 16S ribosomal RNA
Rfam family: Bacterial small subunit ribosomal RNA
Source: RNAcentral